CCCUCCUACAAAGGCGUGUCUGUAGUGCCCUGGCUUUGGACACGUAAGAUUGGAGGCACUGAAAUGUGGACUUGGAGAAGUCUGGAGCCAGCUUGCUCCCUGCAGGCUCCAGACCAACCAUCCCACACAG
Small nucleolar RNA from Rhinolophus ferrumequinum (greater horseshoe bat), 130 nucleotides. The record is from Ensembl. NCBI's taxonomy places the organism in Eukaryota, Metazoa, Chordata, Mammalia, Chiroptera, Rhinolophidae.